AGAGAGGUGGCCGAGUGGUCGAAGGCGCACGCCUGGAAAGUGUGUAUACCCCACAAGGGUAUCGAGGGUUCGAAUCCCUUCCUCUCUGCAA
This 91-nucleotide transfer RNA is filed under the name Antarcticibacterium arcticum. Its description in RNAcentral is "Antarcticibacterium sp. PAMC 28998 tRNA-Ser". It matches the Rfam family "tRNA". Rfam says of the family: Transfer RNA (tRNA) molecules are approximately 80 nucleotides in length. Their secondary structure includes four short double-helical elements and three loops (D, anti-codon, and T loops). The record is from RNAcentral. Lineage: Bacteria; Pseudomonadati; Bacteroidota; Flavobacteriia; Flavobacteriales; Flavobacteriaceae.